CAGCUAGUAGUUUAUUUAAGAAUGUUAAUUUUGGGUGUUAGAGGUAUAGAGUAUUUUCUAUUUUGUUGA
RNAcentral lists this transfer RNA (69 nucleotides) under Nesophrosyne sp. 29 GMB-2012. Its description in RNAcentral is "tRNA-Pro". The record is from RNAcentral. Lineage: Eukaryota; Metazoa; Arthropoda; Insecta; Hemiptera; Cicadellidae.